RNAcentral lists this ribosomal RNA (412 nucleotides) under uncultured bacterium. RNAcentral's name for it is "bacterial SSU rRNA". It matches the Rfam family "Bacterial small subunit ribosomal RNA", at positions 355 to 775 of the family's 1533-position model. The record is from RNAcentral.
UCGAGGAUCUUCGGCAAUGGGCGAAAGCCUGACCGAGCGACGCCGCGUGUGCGAUGAAGGCCUUCGGGUUGUAAAGCACUGUCGAGGGAGAGAAAAGGCGAAAGCCGUGAUCGAUCUCUGGAGGAAGCUCGGGCUAAGUUCGUGCCAGCAGCCGCGGUAAGACGAACCGAGCGAACGUUAUUCGGAAUCACUGGGCUUAAAGGGUGCGUAGGCGGGCCCGUUAGUCAGGGGUGAAAUCCCACGGCCCAACCGUGGAAGUGCCUCUGAUACUGCGGGCCUGGAGGGGGAUAGGGGCGUGCGGAACUUCCGGUGGAGCGGUGAAAUGCGUAGAUAUCGGAAGGAACACCGGUGGCGAAAGCGGCGCGCUGGAUCCCUACUGACGCUGAGGCACGAAAGCCAGGGGAGCAAACGG